UAUGGCUCAGUUGGUAGAGUAUGGCGCUUGCAUCGUCAGGGUUGUGGGUUUGAUUCCCAGUA
RNAcentral lists this transfer RNA (62 nucleotides) under Salmo salar (Atlantic salmon). It matches the Rfam family "tRNA", at positions 6 to 65 of the family's 71-position model. From Rfam's summary of the family: Transfer RNA (tRNA) molecules are approximately 80 nucleotides in length. The record is from Rfam by way of RNAcentral. Lineage: Eukaryota; Metazoa; Chordata; Actinopteri; Salmoniformes; Salmonidae.